This 118-nucleotide ribosomal RNA is filed under the name Diaphorina citri (Asian citrus psyllid). The record is from RNAcentral. Lineage: Eukaryota; Metazoa; Arthropoda; Insecta; Hemiptera; Psyllidae.
CCCAGCGGUGAUAGCAUGCUGAAUGCAUUAGUUCCCAAUGGUUCACUGAGGUUAAGGAACGUUGGGCGUGGUUGGUAUCUGGAUGGGUGACUAUCUGGGAAAACGUUAGCAGUUGUAC